This is a small nuclear RNA of Cricetulus griseus (Chinese hamster), 164 nucleotides long. Its record names the gene U1. It matches the Rfam family "U1 spliceosomal RNA". Rfam says of the family: U1 is a small nuclear RNA (snRNA) component of the spliceosome (involved in pre-mRNA splicing). Its 5' end forms complementary base pairs with the 5' splice junction, thus defining the 5' donor site of an intron. NCBI's taxonomy places the organism in Eukaryota, Metazoa, Chordata, Mammalia, Rodentia, Cricetidae. The record is from Ensembl.
ACACUUACCUAGCAAGGGAAAUACCAUGAUGAUGCUGAUGGUUUCCCCAAGGCUAAGCUUGUCCAUUGAACUCCAGAUGUACUGAUUCCUGUGAUUUCCUCAAACAUGAGAAACCCCACUGCAUAAUUUGUGAAAAUGGGGAGAUGCUUUUGCCCUCCUCCUUA